This 916-nucleotide ribosomal RNA is filed under the name Panagrellus ceylonensis. RNAcentral's name for it is "SSU rRNA". It matches the Rfam family "Eukaryotic small subunit ribosomal RNA", at positions 45 to 966 of the family's 1831-position model. The record is from RNAcentral. Lineage: Eukaryota; Metazoa; Nematoda; Chromadorea; Rhabditida; Panagrolaimidae.
UAAGCCAUGCAUGUCUAAGUACAUGUAGCUUGCCUUACGAACCGCGUAUGGCUCAUUACAACAGCUAUGAUUCUAUUGAUCAUGACACUUAUCCUAUAUGGAUAACUGCGGUAAUUCUGGAGCUAAUACAUGCAUUAAUGCGGGGUCACUAGUUGGCACCGUGCACUUAUUAGAACAAAACCAACUUGUUGAUUUUGUUGACUCGGGAUAAUUAUUACGCUGAUUGCAUGGCCUUGUGCCGGCAAUGUGUCAAAGCUGUGUCUGCCCUAUCACACUUCCAACGGCAGUGUAUUGUCCUGACGUGGUUGUGACGGGUAACGGAGAAUUAGGGUUCGACUCCGGAGAAAUAGCCUGAGAAACGGCUUUUACAUCCAAGGAAGGCAGCAGGCGCGAAAAUUACCCACUCUUAGUACGAGGAGGUAGUGACGAGAAGUGACAAGAUCUGUCCUUUCGAGGGCGGGUCAUUGGAAUGGUUUGAAUUUACAACCUUCCUAGAUUAUCUAUGAGAGGGCAAGUCUGGUGCCAGCAGCCGCGGUAAUUCCAGCUCUCAUACUGCAUUGAAUCGUUGUUGCGGUUAAAAAGCUCGUAGUUGGAUCUGUACACGGCGUCUGUGGACUGCUUCUAGUAGGUGGUUCUGCAGCACGUGUUUAAUGGUCGGUGUGUGGCGAAUCCUUCGGGGUUCGUCGCUGCUGACGAGUUUACUUUGAAUAAAUCAGAGUGCUCAAAACAGGCGUAAGCUUGUAUGGUUUUGCAUGGAAUAAUGGAAUACGACACUGCGUGUGAUUGUUUUUCAUUGGUUUUGCUCACCAGUGUAAUGAUUAAAAGGGACAAACGGGGGCAUUCGUAUCGUCGGGCGAGAGGUGAAAUUCGUGGACCCUGGCGAGACGUACUACAGCGAAAGCAUUUGCCAAGAAUG